UCGAGCGAGAUGCUCAUGAUUGAAACUUCGGUCGAUUUUAUGAGCGGAAAGCGGCGGACGGGUGAGUAACGCGUAGGCAACCUGCCCCUUGCAGAGGGAUAGCCUCGGGAAACCGGGAUUAAAACCUCAUAAUGCGCCAGGAAGACAUCUUCAUGGCGCCAAAGAUUUAUCGGCAAGGGAUGGGCCUGCGUCUGAUUAGUUAGUUGGUGGGGUAACGGCCUACCAAGGCAGCGAUCAGUAGCCGACCUGAGAGGGUGAUCGGCCACAUUGGAACUGAGACACGGUCCANACUCCUACGGGAGGCAGCAGUGGGGAAUAUUGCACAAUGGGGGAAACCCUGAUGCAGCAACGCCGCGUGAAGGAUGAAGGCCCUUGGGUCGUAAACUUCUGUUCUAAGGGAAGAUAAUGACGGUACCUUAGGAGCAAGUCCCGGCUAACUACGUGCCAGCAGCCGCGGUAAUACGUAGGGGGCAAGCGUUAUCCGGAAUUAUUGGGCGUAAAGCGUGCGUAGGCGGUUCUUUAAGCGCGGGGUUUAAGGCUAUGGCUUAACCAUGGUUUGCCUUGCGAACUGGGGGACUUGAGUGCAGGAGAGGAAAGCGGAAUUCCUAGUGUAGCGGUGAAAUGCGUAGAUAUUAGGAGGAACACCAGUGGCGAAGGCGGCUUUCUGGACUGUAACUGACGCUGAGGCACGAAAGCGUGGGGAGCGAACAGGAUUAGAUACCCUGGUAGUCCACGCCGUAAACGAU
This 746-nucleotide ribosomal RNA is filed under the name uncultured bacterium. RNAcentral describes it as "bacterial SSU rRNA". It matches the Rfam family "Bacterial small subunit ribosomal RNA", at positions 62 to 810 of the family's 1533-position model. The record is from RNAcentral.